UACGUAGGGGCCGGGCGUUGUCCGGAGUUACUGGGCGUAAAGCGCACGCAGGCGGCGCUGCGCGUUUGUUGUUACAGCUCCCGGCUCAACCGGGAGAGCGCCUCGAAGACGGCAGCACUUGAGGGCCAGAGAGGGACACGGAACUCCGGGUGGAGUGGUGAAAUGCGUAGAUAUCCGGAAGAACACCAAAGGCGAAGGCAGUGUCCUGGCUGGUACCUGACGCUCAGGCACGAAAGCGUGGGUAGCAAACAGG
Molecule: ribosomal RNA, 253 nt
Filed under: uncultured bacterium
Lineage: Bacteria
Description: partial 16S ribosomal RNA
Rfam family: Bacterial small subunit ribosomal RNA
Source: RNAcentral